AGUGAACGCUGGCGGUAGGCCUAACACAUGCAAGUCGAACGGCAGCACAGGAGAGCUUGCUCUCUGGGUGGCGAGUGGCGGACGGGUGAGGAAUACAUCGGAAUCUAAUUUUUCGUGGGGGAUAACGUAGGGAAACUUACGCUAAUACCGCAUACGACCUACGGGUGAAAGCAGGGGACCUUCGGGCCUUGCGCGAUUGAAUGCGCGGAUGUCGGAUUAGCUAGUUGGCGGGGUAAAGGCCCACCAAGGCGGCGAUCCGUAGCUGGUCUGAGAGGAUGAUCAGCCACACUGGAACUGAGACACGGUCCAGACUCCUACGGGAGGCAGCAGUGGGGAAUAUUGGACAAUGGGCGCAAGCCUGAUCCAGCCAUACCGCGUGGGUGAAGAAGGCCUUCGGGUUGUAAAGCCCUUUUGUUGGGAAAGAAAUCCAGCUGGCUAAUACCCGGUUGGGAUGACGGUACCCAAAGAAUAAGCACCGGCUAACUUCGUGCCAGCCGCCGCCGUAA
RNAcentral lists this ribosomal RNA (506 nucleotides) under uncultured bacterium. RNAcentral's name for it is "partial 16S ribosomal RNA". It matches the Rfam family "Bacterial small subunit ribosomal RNA", at positions 29 to 523 of the family's 1533-position model. The record is from RNAcentral.